RNAcentral lists this ribosomal RNA (220 nucleotides) under Escherichia coli. Its description in RNAcentral is "partial 16S ribosomal RNA". It matches the Rfam family "Bacterial small subunit ribosomal RNA", at positions 1 to 217 of the family's 1533-position model. The record is from RNAcentral. Lineage: Bacteria; Pseudomonadati; Pseudomonadota; Gammaproteobacteria; Enterobacterales; Enterobacteriaceae.
AAAUUGAAGAGUUUGAUCAUGGCUCAGAUUGAACGCUGGCGGCAGGCCUAACACAUGCAAGUCGAACGGUAACAGGAAACAGCUUGCUGUUUCGCUGACGAGUGGCGGACGGGUGAGUAAUAUCUGGGAAACUGCCUGAUGGAGGGGGAUAACUACUGGAAACGGUAGCUAAUACCGCAUAACGUCGCAAGACCAAAGAGGGGGACCUUCGGGCCUCUUG